This 573-nucleotide ribosomal RNA is filed under the name Oxyria digyna. RNAcentral describes it as "eukaryotic LSU rRNA". The stretch from base 220 to 375 matches the Rfam family "5.8S ribosomal RNA". The record is from RNAcentral. Lineage: Eukaryota; Viridiplantae; Streptophyta; Magnoliopsida; Caryophyllales; Polygonaceae.
AACCUGCUCUAAGCAGACAGACCCGCGAACCCGUUUCUAACCAAGCGCUCCCGGGACGCGCCCUCCUCCCCUCGGGCUGGGGGGCUGCCUCUCGGAAGCGCGACCAACCAAACCCCGGCGCGGAUUGCGCCAAGGACUAUGAACAUCAGCGCGCCCCGCGGGUCCCGGACUUCCGGCGUCUCGCGGCGGCGUCGUGUCGUUUCUACCUAAAAAUAAAACGACUCUCGGCAACGGAUAUCUCGGCUCUCGCAUCGAUGAAGAACGUAGCGAAAUGCGAUACUUGGUGUGAAUUGCAGAAUCCCGUGAACCAUCGAGUCUUUGAACGCAAGUUGCGCCCGAAGCCUUCUGGCCGAGGGCACGUCUGUCUGGGCGUCACGCACCGCGUCGCCCCCCCUCCCUCCCGGGGGAAGAGGGGCGGAGACUGGCCUCCCGUGCGUCCCGGCGCGCGGCUGGCCUAAACGCAGACCCCGCGGCCGCAAAAAGCCGCGACGAUUGGUGGUGUUAACAGCAUAUCAAAGUCGCGUCUCGAGCGGCCCUCGGGCGCUCAAGGGUCCCUUGAACUCCGGUUCACCG